UUCCUACAUAACUAUUAAUAAUAAAGAAUUCUUUAGAAAGUCUACUGAUAUCAACUGUGUGUGUAUAUGCAUGCAUGUCACAUGAUGUCACUGAUUCAUCACUAUUGUAUCUACUUAAGCCACACUUUACUGAUCUAAAUAAGAAAGGGUCCAUUGUGUUUCCCUGUGGAUCACCAUUGAUUUUAACUUUAUUUAAGAGGCUUACAUAGAACAGCUAAAAGCUGACUAACCAGUGUGCCUCCCUACAUUAAAACUAAGAUCAAAUUACACAGAACAAGGAUAGAAGUGUUUAAGCUACAGUCCUAAAAUUGAAAGCUAAGAAUAGUCCUACAUAUCUUUAAAAUAUAUAAUAGACUUUCAUAGCUGUCUUGAUAUAGAUCUUUAAACUCAGCUGGGAGACUGUUCCAAAAUUUAAUUGUUGAAACUGUAAAAGAUUUUCCGUACGACUGAUCACAAUUGGUACUUCCUAAAAUAAACGGUCGCAUUGUGGAGCUAUGUGGUACACACGUAAAAACGCAGAAGUUGUUACAGGUUUGCAAACAAGUUGUUACAAAUCUGUUCACAAGCUGUCGCAGUCUGUUCGCACUGCUUGUUUCCAGUUGUUGUGACAAGUUUGGAACAAGCUGUUAACAACUUGUAACAAGUUUGAUGGCAUUAUCAGACUUGUUACAAAGUUGUUCUGACAAGUCUGAUGCAAUCAUGAUAUAACAAGAAUGUUACAAGGUUGUAACAAUAUUGUUAUAACUUUAUAUUGAACUUAUAUUAUGACUGUAUCGGACUUGUUGGAACAACCUUUCAACAAAUCUGAUAAUAUGAACAAGAUUGUUAUAACUGUUAACAAGUUGUUCCACACCUGUUGACAACUUGGAACAAGCAGUACGAACACAACUUGUUAACGGCUUGUUUGUGAGAUUUUUGCGUGUGUACACCAUUCAUUUUGGGUUUAGUCUUCUUGAGCUGAAUUGUUGUUCUUGCUUGACUUGACUGCAGGACGUGGGGAAUAGGCGGGUGGUGGUCCCAUUGUGGGGCCUUGUUGCACACUUUCUCUUGUAUUGACAUUUUCUUCUCCUUGUGUUUGGUUAAUUCAAACUGUGUUGCUAUAAUUGCUAGCUGAUGAAAACCUGUCGUGUCUAGUAGACUGAAACCGGAUUACUCUUCCAUGUGCUACUGAAGUAAAUUGCAUAUUGUUGGAACUUGAACCAUACGUAAUGGUGAAAAGCAAUACACUUAACCACUGUGUACCAAUACCCUUUAGCCGUACUUACACUGCGAGCCUUGGUCUAGUCUGAGCCUAGCCUUUGGUCGAAAGUUUUGCUGUGGAUACUAGCUUUGGCCCAGUACAGUAUAGGCCUGACCUAUAGUAGGCCACGAUAUCUUGGCCUACUGCGAUCGUUGUCCUCGACCUGGCCUAAACCAAUACUUGUGGUAAACAGUGUAAAUGUGACACAGUUACUUUGGCUUGGCUCAGACAAGGCCAAGACUCGCAGUGGAUACACAGCUUUGAACUACCACAAACAUUUCAUGAUAUAAGUGGUCAGUCAAUAUAGAAGUAUAUUUACUUUGAGUACAAAUACGACAAUAUCCGUCCACACAGCAACCCUUGUCAGUUGAAAAACAAUCAUUGGAAGUAGAGCAUGUGUCCAAAAUAUCUUUCACGUUGAAAGUAGGAAGUGAGAAAUGGAAACAAGAUCCACUAUCACAGUCCGAGUUUGUAGUGCAUUCGUUUAUUUGUUUCUUUCUACACUGGUAGCUUGUCUUUGGUUUACAUCUGAAACCGAUACAACAGCCAUCUGCACAUUCCGAGUCAUCAUAUAUGCAUUGAUCACUGCAUUCAUAUUAAAAGCCGUCUCCUUUGCAUGUUGCGUUAACGCAACAACCUUCCCAACAGUCUUCCGAUCUUAAACAUCUUUCUUGACACUUGACAAAAACGAUGAAUGGCGCGACCACAACCAAUAUAAUCAACCCCGCAUUAGUCAUGGUUAAUUCCUAUAACACAAGAACAAAUUCCCAGUUUCUUUAUGUGAAAAAGAUUGGUAAUUUACCACGAAAAUAUUAUGUUUUUAAGCAAACUCAAGAACCCUUCGCACUGUUUGACUGUCG
Molecule: long non-coding RNA, 2100 nt
Filed under: Paramuricea clavata
Lineage: Eukaryota; Metazoa; Cnidaria; Anthozoa; Malacalcyonacea; Plexauridae
Source: RNAcentral